CAGCAGCCGCGGUAAUACGGAGGGUGCAAGCGUUAAUCGGAAUUACUGGGCGUAAAGCGUGCGUAGGCGGUUCGUUAAGUCUGUUGUGAAAGCCCCGGGCUCAACCUGGGAAUGGCAAUGGAUACUGGCGAGCUAGAGUGUGUCAGAGGAUGGUGGAAUUCCCGGUGUAGCGGUGAAAUGCGUGGAGAUCGGGAGGAACAUCAGUGGCGAAGGCGGCCAUCUGGGACAACACUGACGCUGAGGCACGAAAGCGUGGGGAGCAAACAAGAUUAGAUACCCGGGUAGUCCCUGUCUCUUAUAC
This 301-nucleotide ribosomal RNA is filed under the name uncultured bacterium. RNAcentral's name for it is "partial 16S ribosomal RNA". It matches the Rfam family "Bacterial small subunit ribosomal RNA", at positions 509 to 807 of the family's 1533-position model. The record is from RNAcentral.